Molecule: long non-coding RNA, 2093 nt
Filed under: Cucumis sativus (cucumber)
Lineage: Eukaryota; Viridiplantae; Streptophyta; Magnoliopsida; Cucurbitales; Cucurbitaceae
Description: long non-coding RNA (CSAT_LNC002980)
Source: RNAcentral
UUCCCUCUUCUUUUCUUUGGCUUUUGGCCCCAUUUUGAGAUAAACAAAGAAGGGGAAGAAAUACAUAUACAAAGUCUUGAGACUCAUACAAACACAUCAUCCUAAAGCACCCCAUCAUUUUUAUUGUGGGUAUUAUUCAGUUUUUUUUUUUUUAAUUCAAACUUUUGUGGUAUUUUGUUUUCAACGGUAGAUUUUCUUUUUCAUUUUAUUUCUAUAUGUGAAAAAGAGAAAAAAAAUUUCCAUGUAUUGAACUUGAAAGAGGAGUGGUGUUAUACUGUUUCAAUUUUGAGGAAUCAUCGAGGUUUUAAUUCUUCUUGGAUGAUUGAUUGUUUAUGGGAAUACCUGAUAGUUCAUUAUCAGAUCUGAUUGAGAAGGUUAGGUGUUGGAUUUCCUGGGGACCUAACUCAUCUGUGUGUUUAUCUGAGGAAUUUGCUGCCUAACAAUAGUUACAAAAUGUGUUGUGAGUGUGAUACAAGCUUUCCAAGAUGUCAUUGAGAUACCUGUGCCAGAGUUGUAAUCAGUCAUCUUGUGGAAAAUGUAUUCGGGUUAUGAAUCUUAUGUUGUUCAAUCAGAUGGUAUGAAGGUGGGUAAUGAGGCUGUGAAGAGAACCAAGUUGUGUAAGUUUUGUUCUGAUACUAAUCUCGGCUUGAAGGUGGGAGGAGACAUAGUGAGAAAGUUCAUCCUUCUGUCUCUCAGAUAUAGUCCAGAGCCUCCUUCUCCUAGUUAUGAUGGUGCAGACAAGUCCCAAUGAAGACUGAAUCACUUCCGAUGAUCGUCUGAGUCGAUAUCUUGAGUCAGAUUGUGGUUAUUCUCCCUAUGCAGCAUCACAUAGGAUUUCGAGCUCGUUUAAUGCUCAUCCAUUUCCUAUUUCGUUCGUCACUCGCCUAACUGGUAACAUUUCAUUUGAAUGCAAUUUCUGUUUGUCUCAUUACUUUUUUUGUGUUCUAGUUUGCAGUAACUUCUAUUAAUCUUGUACUUUUUGUUUAAAAUUAGUACAAUAUUUUAAGUGCUUGUAUGUGAAUUAUUUGUUCUUAUGUUCCCAUUAUGACAACGCAUAAGUUUGGUAUAUAGUUGUGUUGGUAGGUUUCUUUUUGAGUGCUUCUGAAAUUUUAUGUUAGAAUUAUAAAAAUUACUUUUAAAGCAAAAACUCUUUCAUUUAGUAUUGUCUUGUUGAUAGUACUCAACUUUCUGAUUUUGGAUGAUGCUCCUGGGAUCAAAGUACAAUAUAUUUCCACUUUAAAUCAAGAAAUCGGCUGUUGUUUCAAUUCUUUAAUGUCUAUUACUGAUACAGUAGAGUGACGUGAAAUGAUUUAAUACACUUAUCUCAUUUAGUAUUUUUUUACUAAUGUAGGAGUGACGAAGAUGAUGCAGAAGAUUCCGGGAGACAUUUUUUUAGCCCAUCAAGUGAUUAUUUUCGUGACAGUUCAGACAUAGAGUCAAGUAGUGUUAGUACUAGAAACGAGUUCUUUAGUUCUCAUUUUGGGGGAUCAAGUCCUUCUGACAGCCCCUCAAGGAACGAUUAUACUUUUAGUAAAGCUGAUUAUGUUGUACAGACAUUAGAUCCAGGUCAAAGGGUGAAUCUAUUGUCUCAAGAGGCUGAGACCAUUUUAAAUAGGUCUGAGAGACUGACUGAAGGCCAAGAUAAUAAACAGGCUUGCUCUGGUGACCUGCCUACUGUUCAGAACCAAGAUGGAAAGGUAGAGAGGCCAUUAGAUUUUGAAAACAAUGGUCUUAUAUGGUUCCCCCACCUCCUGAUGAUGAAAGCGAUGAUUUGGAGAAUAAUUUCUUUUCCUACAACGAUGAAGAUGACAAUAUUGGGGAUUCUGGUGCUAUGUUCUCCAGGACCAGUAGCCUUUCUAGCAUGUUUCCAGACAAGCAAAAUUUGCAUGAGGAGAAUAAGGAGCCAUUGAAAGCUAUGGUUCAGGGUCAUUUUAGGGCUCUCGUUGCUCAACUAUUGCAAGGGGAGGAUAUCCAAUCUGGAGGAGAUUGUGUUGACGUCUGGCUUGAUGUUAUUACCACAAUAGCCUGGCAAGCUGCAAAUUUUGUGAGACCAGAUACUAGCAGAGGAGGCAGUAUGGAUCCUGGGGAUUAUG